GAUGAACGCUGGCGGUGUGCCUAAUACAUGCAAGUCGAGCGAACAGACGAGGAGCUUGCUCCUCUGACGUUAGCGGCGGACGGGUGAGUAACACGUGGAUAACCUACCUAUAAGACUGGGAUAACUUCGGGAAACCGGAGCUAAUACCGGAUAAUAUAUUGAACCGCAUGGUUCAAUAGUGAAAGACGGUUUUGCUGUCACUUAUAGAUGGAUCCGCGCCGCGUUAGCUAGUUGGUAAGGUAACGGCUUACCAAGGCAACGAUGCGUAGCCGACCUGAGAGGGUGAUCGGCCACACUGGAACUGAGACACGGUCCAGACUCCUACGGGAGGCAGCAGUAGGGAAUCUUCCGCAAUGGGCGAAAGCCUGACGGAGCAACGCCGCGUGAGUGAUGAAGGUCUUCGGAUCGUAAAACUCUGUUAUUAGGGAAGAACAAAUGUGUAAGUAACUAUGCACGUCUUGACGGUACCUAAUCAGAAAGCCACGGCUAACUACGUG
Molecule: ribosomal RNA, 497 nt
Filed under: uncultured bacterium
Lineage: Bacteria
Description: partial 16S ribosomal RNA
Rfam family: Bacterial small subunit ribosomal RNA
Source: RNAcentral